GUCGAGGGACCGGCGCACGGGUGAGUAACACGUUCCAACCUGCCGAUAACUCGGGGAUAGCCUUUCGAAAGAAAGAUUAAUACCCGAUGGUUAUCGAUGGGGAUGCGUUCCAUUAGGCAGUUGGUGAGGUAACGGCUCACCAAACCUUCGAUGGAUAGGGGUUCUGAGAGGAAGGUCCCCCACAUUGGAACUGAGACACGGUCCAAACUCCUACGGGAGGCAGCAGUGAGGAAUAUUGGUCAAUGGGCGCAAGCCUGAUCCAGCCAUACCGCGUGGGUGAAGAAGGCCUUCGGGUUGUAAAGCCCUUUUGUUGGGAAAGCGGUACCCAAAGAAUAAGCACCGGCUAACUUCGUGCCAGCAGCCGCGAUAAUACGAAGGGUGCAAGCGUUACUCGGAAUUACUGGGCGUAAAGCGUGCGUAGGUGGUCGUUUAAGUCCGUUGUGAAAGCCCUGGGCUCAACCUGGGAACUGCAGUGGAUACUGGGCGACUAGAUGUGGUAGAGGGUAGCGGAAUUCCUGGUGUAGCAGUGAAAUGCGUAGAGAUCAGGAGGAACAUCCAUGGCGAAGGCAGCUACCUGGACCAACAUUGACACUGAGGCACGAAAGCGUGGGGAGCAAACAGGAUUAGAUACCCUGGUAGUCCACGCCCUAAACGAUGCGAACUGGAUGUUGGGCAGUAUCGAAGCUAACGCGUUAAGUUCGCCGCCUGGGGAGUACGGUCGCAAGACUGAAACUCA
Molecule: ribosomal RNA, 736 nt
Filed under: uncultured bacterium
Lineage: Bacteria
Description: bacterial SSU rRNA
Rfam family: Bacterial small subunit ribosomal RNA
Source: RNAcentral